This 1279-nucleotide ribosomal RNA is filed under the name Daldinia eschscholtzii. RNAcentral describes it as "LSU rRNA". It matches the Rfam family "Eukaryotic large subunit ribosomal RNA", at positions 73 to 1378 of the family's 3401-position model. Lineage: Eukaryota; Fungi; Ascomycota; Sordariomycetes; Xylariales; Hypoxylaceae. The record is from RNAcentral.
AUUGCCCUUAGUUAACGGCGAAGUGAAGCGGCAACAGCUCAAAUUUGAAAUCUGGCCCUAGCGGUCCGAGUUGUAAUUUGUAGAGGAGGCUUUUGGUGAGGUGCCUUCCGAGUUCCCUGGAACGGGACGCCGGAGAGGGUGAGAGCCCCGUACGGUUGGACGCCAAACCUCUGUAUAGCUCCUUCGACGAGUCGAGUAGUUUGGGAAUGCUGCUCUAAAUGGGAGGUAAAUUUCUUCUAAAGCUAAAUACCGGCCAGAGACCGAUAGCGCACAAGUAGAGUGAUCGAAAGAUGAAAAGCACUUUGAAAAGAGGGUUAAAUAGCACGUGAAAUUGUUGAAAGGGAAGCGUUUGCGACCAGACUUUUUCCAGGCGGAUCAUCCGGCGUUCUCGCCGGUGCACUCCGCCUGGUUGAGGCCAGCAUCGGUUUCCUUAGGGGGAUAAAGGCCUGGGGAACGUAGCUCCUUCGGGAGUGUUAUAGCCCCUGGCGUAAUACCCCUCGGGGGACCGAGGAACGCGCUCUGCAAGGAUGCUGGCGUAAUGGUCGUCAACGACCCGUCUUGAAACACGGACCAAGGAGUCGAACAUUUGUGCGAGUGUUUGGGUGUCAAACCCUCACGCGUAAUGAAAGUGAACGGAGGUGAGAGCCCUUACGGGUGCAUCAUCGACCGAUCCUGAUGUCUUCGGAUGGAUUUGAGUAAGAGCAUAACUGUUCGGACCCGAAAGAUGGUGAACUAUGCGUGGAUAGGGUGAAGCCAGAGGAAACUCUGGUGGAGGCUCGCAGCGGUUCUGACGUGCAAAUCGAUCGUCAAAUCUGCGCAUGGGGGCGAAAGACUUAUCGAACCAUCUAGUAGCUGGUUACCGCCGAAGUUUCCCUCAGGAUAGCAGUGUUGUCUUCAGUUUUAUGAGGUAAAGCGAAUGAUUAGGGACUCGGGGGCGCUAUAUUGCCUUCAUCCAUUCUCAAACUUUAAAUAUGUAAGAAGCCCUUGUUACUUAGUUGAACGUGGGCAUUCGAAUGUACCAACACUAGUGGGCCAUUUUUGGUAAGCAGAACUGGCGAUGCGGGAUGAACCGAACGCGGGGUUAAGGUGCCAGAGUGGACGCUCAUCAGACACCACAAAAGGUGUUAGUACAUCUUGACAGCAGGACGGUGGCCAUGGAAGUCGGACUCCGCUAAGGACUGUGUAACAACUCACCUGCCGAAUGUACUAGCCCUGAAAAUGGAUGGCGCUCAAGCGUCUCACCCAUACCUCGCCCUUAGGGUAGAAACGAUGCCCUAAG